Molecule: unclassified non-coding RNA, 376 nt
Filed under: uncultured bacterium
Lineage: Bacteria
Description: contains 16S-23S intergenic spacer region
Source: RNAcentral
UCCCGGUUUCCCGGGCAGUCCUGCUAGAGUCCCGCUUUCGCAAGUAACUAACAGCAAGGGUUGCGCUCGUUAAAGGACUUAACCCAACAUCUCACGACACGAGCUGACGACAGCCAUGCAGCACCUGUGCUUACGUUCAGGUUACCCCGAAACACUUCGGUUAAGAAGUUAGCAUAAGCAUGUCAAGUCUAGGUAAGGUUUCUCGCGUAGUAUCGAAUUAAACCACAUGUUCCACCGCUUGUGCGGGCCCCCGUCAAUUUCUUUGAGUUUUAAUCUUGCGACCGUAAUCCCCAGGCGGAUCACUUAACGCGUUAGCUACGACACCGACUCUAAAACGAGCCGACACCUAGUGAUCAUCGUUUACUGCGUGGACUAC